GACGGAGGGGGCAAGCGUUGUCCGGAAUUACUGGGCGUAAAGCGCAUGUAGGCGGUCGCGUACGGCGGUGGUGAAAGCUCUCGGCUCAACUGAGAGAGGCCCAUCGCAACGGCGUGACUGGAGGUUGGUAGAGGCAGAUGGAAUUCCUGGUGUAGCGGUGAAAUGCGUAGAGAUCAGGAGGAACACCCGUGGCGAAGGCGGUCUGCUGGGCCAUACCUGACGCUGAGAUGCGAAAGCGCGGGGAGUGAACGGGAUUAGAUACCCCGGUAAUCCGCGCCGUAAACGAUGGAUACUAGGUGUCAGCAGCAUCGACCCUGCUGGUGCCGCAGCUAACGCAGUAAGUAUCCCGCCUGGGGAGUACGGCCGCAAGGUUGAA
Molecule: ribosomal RNA, 376 nt
Filed under: uncultured bacterium
Lineage: Bacteria
Description: bacterial SSU rRNA
Rfam family: Bacterial small subunit ribosomal RNA
Source: RNAcentral